GCGGGUGAAAGGCCAACCUUCAUUGACCACUAUAAGGCUUUUCUUAAAUGCUACUCGGACACACCAAAAGAAAUGUUGUCCUUUUCACAAAAACAUGUCCUUGUUCAGGACCAUGUAAGUUAUUUAAAAUAAUGGUCAAUGAAACAAAUAUAGCAAUGGUAUCGCUUCUCACAUUUUCCUCAUUCUGCUCAGAGGGCUGACAGAGUGGAGAAGAUCAUCCAUCAUCCACUUCUUUCAAGUUACUCCCUUCUGCCAAAGGGAUUAAGAGACACAUUUUCAUCCCACUUUCUCAAAUAGGAGAAAAAGUUUUCCAUGCUGGUUUCUACUGUUCCAUGUUUUGCUCUUAUAUUGCACCCAAGAAUCAUUUCAAGAUGUUCUGAGAAGAGAUGUAAAAGAGUCAGCUGAUCUUCCCUACUUCAGGUCUAUUGAACACAGGUGAAGUCCACUCUCUCUGACCUCGGCUCACCAAGGCCCCUGGGAAGACAGGCUAGCAACAGAAAUCAGAAUUGUUAAAAGUUUCUUGGAUAACUGAGAAAAAAAAGAACCUACUUUCUCUUGAGGAUGCCAGACCUAAUUUCUUGCCAUUCCAAAUAUUUAAGUCUGGGAGUGUGGUAAAGCUAAAAGCUGGCUUCACAAUCGGAAAAGUUCACAAUACAAGAAGAAAUGAUGGAGAAAGCAUCUUAAGCCUUCUGCACUGAGCUGGGAUGGCGGGACAAAGGAAAAAGGAGUCCUUCUCAGUCUGGUCUGAUAGAGAUGAUGAGGCUCAGCUCCAGGGAGAUAAUAAUCUGUGAAUUACACAACCAGGAAUGCACCUUAGGACUAGAAGAGUAAGGGAUUUGUAGAGGUAGAGAAUGCCUGGCAGUGUGAUUACCGUAGGACCAAGCCACAGGGUGGCACCCAGUAGGAAAGAUACAUGGAGAAAGUCUUUACAAAGGUGCACCUAGAGAUAAUGCUCAGGUAGCUGACCAUUCCUUUCAGAUGAAACCCCUGCCUAGUUGUGCUUCCUUAGAGGGUUCUCAUUGAGUUUUAAAUAACUAAAUCAGAGGUGGUUUAGCUUCCCACUGACCACUUCUUAUUUUGCCACCUCCACUAAGUAGUUUACUUCUUUGACCCACCUAGAUAGCAGUGUGUCUUCUUUGAAUCACACUAUUAACGUGAUUUAUCUGGAAUACCUAGCUCUAUAUAAAUGCUUAAUUCUGACUGUGUUAAAAAAGACUACCUUAUGGAAAAGAAACCCUUACAAAAUGAAUCAGCUUUCACAUUUAGAGUUCUUGAUUAUUUAGAAAGUCAUACCAAUGUGUAAACUUCAAAAAUGCAUAAUAUAAGCUAACAGUUCCUGGUCACUCACAAGGAGCCAGCCAUGUGCUAAGCACUUCAGGUAGAUCAACUCAUUGAACAUAUUAACAUAUACAUCAUUGCUAAAGGUAACAUUUUAUAAUUAAGAAAAUAUGCGAAUCAUGAAAUUAUCUUAUUUGCCACUCAAAUUUAGGCAAGCCACUUUACUUCAUUAGGCCUCAGUCUGAGGAAUAAGACUAAUGAGUACUGUCUAGGAUUCAUCAUGAGGAUCUAAUGAGAUAAUUAGGUCAAGUGAACAGCACAGUGCCUGGCACAUAGUUAAGUACACAAUAAAUACAAAUUGCCACAAUUUUUAAUUCAGAUGAAGACUAUAUUGAGAGGAAAGAAGUAAAUUUAAAAUUUCAAGAUGCGAAUUACAGCUACUUACUUAGCUAUAUGACAUAAGUUUAGGAAUUACAUUAUAGCUCAAUACAAAUUAUAAUAGAACUGCUUUCACACAUUUGCCUGACAGACUAAUUUUUAGCUCUCUUUUUCAGCUCAAACUUCAUUUUUGAAGUUAAAAAAAUAUUUCUCCAGCCAGGCAUGGUGGUGUAUGCCUGUAGUCCCAGUUACUGGGAAGGCUAAGGCAGGAGGAUUGAGACUAGGAGUUCAAGGCUGUAGUGCAUAUGAUCACACCUGUAAAUAGCCACUGUACCUCAGCCUGGGAAACACAGUGAGACCCUGUCUCUAAAUAUAUAUAUAUAUAUAUAUUCUUCAACAAAUCUUUUUACCACUUAAGCAUUGACAUUGUUUUUAACAGUUUUUCUUGACCCUACUUGACUGGAAAUGUUAAAGACUAGCAAAAUGUUUCCAGCUCCACAUUGGGGUUAGGGGUGGGGAAAAUCAGAUUAUAGGUUAUUCUCUGUGGUCUCUUUUAUUUCAAAGGUUUUAUGGUGCUACUAACUGGUCAAAUGCCAGAGAGAAGGAAAACUGCAAUUUAUAGUCUGACCAGAGGAAGAGAGUCAAUAAGCUGAACGAGUCAGGAACUAGCUAGAUCUCCAAGGAAUGGAGCCGUGUCAAAGUCCAUGUUCUAUUUCUCAAUAUAUCUCUAGGGCUCACGGUUGGAGGCUUGUAUACAAAUCUUGGGGGGAAAGGCAGACAAAUACCAUAGGCAAACAUGUUCUUGAUAUACAUAAGAUUAAAAGAAGAAACUUGAACAGUCUAGGACAGGAAGGAAAAGUAUAAGUAGCAGCUUGUUGACUACUUUUCUAAUACCAUGAAACAGAACUAUGUGUAGCCAAAGCAGUUUAGAUAGUGAGGAAAAGCAAACAAAACAAUAAGAACAACAACAACAAAUAUGGGAUGUAGUUUCGACAGACCAAGAUUUUUCUGCAGCACUGUAAUUUUAUAAGCUGUGCGACUUCAAGUUUUAUUCAUACAGUUUAUUCAUACAGUUGCUUCAACUGUAUAUAGUACUAAGUUCAUUGUCUGUCAAAGAGUAGAUGCCCAAUACAUUGUAGCUAUCAUUAAUGAGGUUAUGACUCCAACUAUGACUAUAGACCUAGAAGCUGCUUUCUCCAGCUAGCUGGUGAUCUAGCUGCCAAUCAGUUACUUGCUAUUCUAUAACAAAGUUGCAGUAUCAGAGCAAAAAUCACAGCCCGCUGUUGCCUAUCCCAUGUUAGAAUGCCAUUGGUUAAAAGUGGACACAUUUUACAGUAAUUUAUCCUGACUAAAAUAGUAUCAGUCAUAUAAAUUCCUUGAUGCAAAGAAAAAACUCUGUGCCACAUUGCAAUGGAAUGACAUCCUGAAUGUUAGGAAUUAUUAUUUUCUGUAUUCCAUAUGAAUGUCUCAAGCAAGUUCACUAAAAAGAGCUCAAUUUCUCAUCUUUGAUGUAUUUUAAACAAGAAAGAGAAUUAGAUACAACGGGAGCACUUUUCUCUAGGAAGUCUGAAAACAAUUACAUACUGAAAUUAUGUUUAAUGAAACAUUUAUUUUAACAAGUCACACUGGUGCCAUCUAUUUUACAAUUUAGAAUGAAUAUUUUGCAAUAUGAAAUGAAAAAAGACCAAGAAGUCACUCACUAGCAGUUUUCAAAGGCCAUAAAGAAGAAUUGGUUUAUCUAUUGAUUCACUCUCAUUAUAUCUACUGACAACUAAGAGGAAAUGGGUUAGAAUUUAAGCAAAGAAGAUUUGUAUUAGAUAUAAAGAAAACUUCCUAACUCUGUGGGUUUAAAACAACAGGACUGCUUCCUAUAAGGGUACUUUGGAAGAUGCAAUCCUUGGUGUGCAUACAUUCUACACCUAGUUUCUAGUUUUCUAAUUUCUUAUUCUUCCUCAUGUGUAGUAGGGAAAUGGAAGGGCUUGCAGGUGACCCCCUUUACCCUAUGGCAGAAAUUCUUAGGGCUGAGAUGGGGGGCAAAUGUCCUCUACACUGAGUUUCAUUAAUGGCAGCUUUUGCCCAGAGGUUGCCAGUGUUAUUAAACAGGGUAGGGUGCUAGAUGGUGGAUGCUUAGUUCAAACUGGGCUGGAAUUCUUCCAUAUUGGUCUCUGUAUAAUCUCUUUUUUCUUGCCACACUUCCCCAGCUCUUCUCUUGAAAUAUUCCCUUGUGUUUUUCUAACUCUUAUUCUGAAGAGCAGUUCACCCUUCUGUUAGCUUCUCUAAUUCGCAUCCUCAGCCAUCACCCAGGAUGCUCAUUAGGGAGCCAAUCCCCUUAGAAGGCUUAGGACAGAUAAUAAAUACUUACAAUAUUGCCCCUGUCAUGCUAAAAAACUGCAUCCAUAGGUUCUGGCAUUCUUCCUACUUUCCAUACUUUUGAAAUGCUUUCUAAUUUAGGUCAAACUUGACAAAGAACUAGGCAAUUUGAGAGCUGAGACAUAUCACUGGCACGGGCUCUCAUUAGUUAGUUACCUGUACACAGUUAUAUUUAACAGUGUCUCACCCAGGCUUGCUGUCAUUGUGCCCCAUGUGGUACCCCAGCCCUUCCCAUAGGCACCAAUCCCUGGAGAGAUUUGGUGCUUGUGGCUGAAGUAUACCUUACUUCUGUCCAUUUUCUAAUAUACCUUCAACCCCUGUAUUAUAUUUUGAGAUAUUGGAUCACCUCUGGAAAGGCUUCCAAGAAAAUCUAUAUUGAUUUUUUAUUAAGACUGUGCUUUCUUUGUGACUAUCUUCCUUACCAACCUAGCUAAUAUCCCUCAGGCCCUAUUCUCUAUACCUUUAUCUAAACUUUGACAAUUCUAUAUGUUUAGUAUUAGUAUUAUUGGGAAUAUUUAUACAUAUCGCUCAGCAUCUUUCCCUAAAAAGCUUAAAAACUCCUUAAAGGCCUCAUUAAUAUUCUUCCCCUUCAGUUUCAUCUUAGAAUCUACUUUUCUCAAUCUUGCUAGUAAUGGUUGGGUGGAUCCAUGACUAACCAUUCGUAUACUCAUGGUUACCUUCAUGUCAUCAUCCCUUCUGAUUCAAUAGAAUUCACUACAUGAUUGGAAUGAUUGACAGAGGAACUACUAAGUGAGCUAUUCCUUUACCUCUCCUAAAAGGCAAGUUUUAAUGAUAAGGCCAAAACCAUGGUGUGCCUCAGAUCCGUGGGGAAGAAAAAAAAAAGAGUUGCAGUCAGGACUAAGUAUUAUUGCACACAUAACCACAGCCAGUUGACAUGAUAGAAAAAGAGGGUGGAGAACCCCAUUUUGAAAUACCAAAAGAAGCGUCUUGCUUCUGAAGAAUUUCAUACCAAUUCAGCAUUUCUUUACCAACAACCAUACUCACUUCCUGAAUUAUCAGCUAUGCAUCAUACAGUGUUUAGUGCAUGAUUUUCUCAUUCCAGAUGAGCCUAAAAUAAACUUGUAAAAAAUAAGAUGCUAAAUAAAAUGAAUAGAUCUUAACUAUUAUAGUGAUAACUCUUCUGUGAUAUCUCAGAAGUGGGAAAAGUUACAUAACUUCAAGGUCUUAUAAGGCAGAGGUAUUUGAACUGCUACAUUACCUACGAGUUUAUCCCAAUCCAUAUAGAGAUACAGAAUACACAAAUGACUCUCCCGCGGUAAGGCAGCACUGCAGAGAGUAAAACUGUAAGUGAUCUUAACAGUCAUUAGCUUAGUGGUUUUCAAACAAUAUUCCUUGGAAUCCUAAAGUCUUUAGAGGUAUUUUAAGGAGAGGGUUUGAAUUUGGGGUGGGGGGUAAAUGUACAAACUCAGUGGCUGUUUUAUUGUUUUAUGUGUGCUUAUACUUUUUACUUAUAUAUUUCACACAUAUCUAUGUUUUUAAAAAUUAUAUCUAUAUAUUGAAUUUAUAUAUGAUUUUAUAUCUAAAAAUUACAGUAUAAAUAUUCAUUUAUAUUAACUUCAACUCACAUUUCAUUAAUAAAAAAUGUCCCAUUGAAAUAAACGUGUUUAAAAUCCAUUGACCUGCCUUGCCCCUUUUAUUUUACAGGACAGUAGACUUGGCUUCAGAGGGACUAGGUGACUCCUCCAGGGACACAGAGCAUGUUAGAAGUACAGUGGACAAAUGGCUUUUUCCAGGGAAUCUCAUACUUCAUGACUUUAAAGAGUAAACCUAUCUGUGAUCCACUCUGUGUCUUUCUAGUUAUGUUUUAAAUACAUCAAAUAUUUCAAGGUCUCAAAUGGUUUCAUAGCCCCAUGAGACGCUCAUAGGCUGUAGCCCCUGAGGAAUGUAGUGCCUGGUAUGGACCACAGAACCCUGGAGGUGGGAUCUGGAAAGAAAGGGAAUUCUGAUCCUGAAAGCUCAAGUUGAAGCACUGAGGCUGACACUCUGGGCUACACAGAGAAAGCAGUGUCAGAUGGUGGUGAGGAACACCUUGUAGGCAGACCGCCAAGGUGGCACAAAAGCUUGACAAAGCGUCCAUGAACCAUUUGAAGAUUUUUG
RNAcentral lists this long non-coding RNA (6144 nucleotides) under Homo sapiens (human). RNAcentral's name for it is "HSALNT0088351". The record is from RNAcentral. Lineage: Eukaryota; Metazoa; Chordata; Mammalia; Primates; Hominidae.